RNAcentral lists this ribosomal RNA (439 nucleotides) under uncultured bacterium. Its description in RNAcentral is "partial 16S ribosomal RNA". It matches the Rfam family "Bacterial small subunit ribosomal RNA", at positions 339 to 795 of the family's 1533-position model. The record is from RNAcentral.
CUACGGGGUGCAGCAGUGGGGAAUAUUGCACAAUGGAGGAAACUCUGAUGCAGCAACGCCGCGUGGAGGAUGACACUUUUCGGUGUGUAAACUCCUUUUAUAUGUCAAGAAAAUGACGGUAGCAUAUGAAUAAGCACCGGCUAACUCCGUGCCAGCAGCCGCGGUAAUACGGAGGGUGCAAGCGUUACUCGGAAUCACUGGGCGUAAAGGACGCGUAGGCGGGUUGGAAAGUCAGGUGUGAAAUCCUACAGCUUAACUGUAGAACUGCACUUGAAACUUCUAAUCUAGAGUAUGGGAGGGGGAGAUGGAAUUAGUGGUGUAGGGGUAAAAUCCGUAGAUAUCACUAGGAAUACCUAAAGCGAAGGCGAUCUCCUGGAACAUUACUGACGCUAAGGCGUGAAAGCGUGGGGAGCAAACAGGAUUAGAUACCCGAGUAGUC